RNAcentral lists this ribosomal RNA (419 nucleotides) under uncultured bacterium. Its description in RNAcentral is "bacterial SSU rRNA". It matches the Rfam family "Bacterial small subunit ribosomal RNA", at positions 1 to 401 of the family's 1533-position model. The record is from RNAcentral.
AAUUCGAUUAGAGUUUGAUCAUGGCUCAGAAUCAACGCUGGCGGCGUGCCUCAGACAUGCAAGUCGAACGCGAAAGUCCCCUUCGGGGGACAAGUAGAGUGGCGCACGGGUGAGUAACACGUAGGUAAUCUACCUUCGGAUGGGGAAUGACAAUCGGAAACGGUUGCUAAUACCGCAUAAUGCAGCGGCACCUAAUGGUGACAGUUGUUAAAGCGGGGGAUCGAAAGACCUCGCGUCUGAAGAGGAGCCUGCGGCGGAUUAGCUAGUUGGUAAGGUAAUGGCUUACCAAGGCUACGAUCCGUAACCGGCCUGAGAGGGCGGUCGGUCACACUGACACUGACAUACGGGUCAGACUCCUACGGGAGGCAGCAGUCGGGAAUUUUGGGCAAUGGGCGAAAGCCUGACCCAAAAGCGCCGCG